GUUGAACGCUGGCGGCGUGCCUAAUACAUGCAAGUCGAGCGAACGGACGAGAAGCUUGCUUCUCUGAUGUUAGCGGCGGACGGGUAAGUAACACGUGGAUAACCUACCUAUAAGACUGGGAUAACUUCGGGAAACCGGAGCUAAUACCGGAUAAUAUUUUGAACCGCAUGGUUCAAAAGUGAAAGACGGUCUUGCUGUCACUUAUAGAUGGAUCCGCGCUGCAUUAGCUAGUUGGUAAGGUAACGGCUUACCAAGGCAACGAUGCAUAGCCGACCUGAGAGGGUGAUCAGCCACACUGGAACUGAGACACGGUCCAGACUCCUACGGGAGGCAGCAGUAGGGAAUCUUCCGCAAUGGGCGAAAGCCUGACGGAGCAACGCCGCGUGAGUGAUGAAGGUCUUCGGAUCGUAAAACUCUGUUAUUAGGGAAGAACAUAUGUGUAAGUAACUGUGCACAUCUUGACGGUACCUAAUCAGAAAGCCACGGCUAACUACGUG
Molecule: ribosomal RNA, 497 nt
Filed under: uncultured bacterium
Lineage: Bacteria
Description: partial 16S ribosomal RNA
Rfam family: Bacterial small subunit ribosomal RNA
Source: RNAcentral